CCUACGGGAGGCAGCAGUGGGGAAUAUUGGACAAUGGGCGAAAGCCUGAUCCAGCCAUGCCGCGUGUGUGAAGAAGGCCUUCGGGUUGUAAAGCACUUUCAGUGGGGAAGAAAGCCUUGGGGCUAAUACCCUCGAGGAAGGACAUCACCCACAGAAGAAGCACCGGCUAACUCCGUGCCAGCAGCCGCGGUAAUACGGAGGGUGCGAGCGUUAAUCGGAAUUACUGGGCGUAAAGCGCGCGUAGGCGGUCUGAUAAGCCGGUUGUGAAAGCCCCGGGCUCAACCUGGGAACGGCAUCCGGAACUGUCAGGCUAGAGUGCAGGAGAGGAAGGUAGAAUUCCCGGUGUAGCGGUGAAAUGCGUAGAGAUCGGGAGGAAUACCAGUGGCGAAGGCGGUCUUCUGGACUGACACUGACGCUGAGGUGCGAAAGCGUGGGUAGCAAACAGGAUUAGAUACCCCAGUAGUC
RNAcentral lists this ribosomal RNA (465 nucleotides) under Vreelandella stevensii. RNAcentral's name for it is "partial 16S ribosomal RNA". It matches the Rfam family "Bacterial small subunit ribosomal RNA", at positions 338 to 795 of the family's 1533-position model. Lineage: Bacteria; Pseudomonadati; Pseudomonadota; Gammaproteobacteria; Oceanospirillales; Halomonadaceae. The record is from RNAcentral.